GUCGGAGUUAUUGUAUUUUUGUCUCAAAAAUAUUUUGAACUCGAAUACACGAUAAAGACUAAAUCAAUUGUUGACAACGCAACAUCGGAAUCUAGGAGCGUUUAAUCUUGCUUUUGCUAUAUGAAUGUAGGAGGCCCGACAAAUAGAAGCGGGAGAUACAAAAGAGACAUUAAAACUCAUGAGACGAAGAGAAAUUUACAGCGCCAUGACAAAAUUGACAGAUGAAGAAAAAGACAAACAAGUCCAAACUAUAAUACAUAUAAAAAAAUAAGACUAAGACACACAAAUCCCAUCAUAGUUUAGGAUUGAUUUCAGGUUCUCC
RNAcentral lists this long non-coding RNA (322 nucleotides) under Mytilus galloprovincialis (Mediterranean mussel). The record is from RNAcentral. Lineage: Eukaryota; Metazoa; Mollusca; Bivalvia; Mytilida; Mytilidae.